RNAcentral lists this ribosomal RNA (305 nucleotides) under uncultured bacterium. RNAcentral describes it as "bacterial SSU rRNA". It matches the Rfam family "Bacterial small subunit ribosomal RNA", at positions 333 to 655 of the family's 1533-position model. The record is from RNAcentral.
UUAUCCCUACGGGGGGCAGCAGUGGGGAAUAUUGCACAAUGGGGGGAACCCUGAUGCAGCGACGCCGCGUGAGUGAAGAAGUAUUUCGGUAUGUAAAGCUCUAUCAGCAGGGAAGAAGAUGACGGUACCUGACUAAGAAGCCCCGGCUAACUACGUGCCAGCAGCCGCGGUAAUACGUAGGGAGCAAGCGUUAUCCGGAUUUAUUGGGUGUAAAGGGUGCGUAGACGGGAAAACAAGUUGGUUGUGAAAUCCCUCGGCUUAACUGAGGAACUGCAACCAAAACUAUUUUUCUUGAGUGCUGGAGA